GGAGAGGUGUCCGAGCGGACUAAGGGGCGUGCCUGGAGAGCACGUACCGGCGAAAGUCGGUCGUGGGUUCAAAUCCCACCCUCUCCGCCA
RNAcentral lists this transfer RNA (90 nucleotides) under Bipolaricaulia bacterium. RNAcentral describes it as "tRNA-Ser". It matches the Rfam family "tRNA". Rfam says of the family: Transfer RNA (tRNA) molecules are approximately 80 nucleotides in length. The record is from RNAcentral. Lineage: Bacteria; Candidatus Bipolaricaulota; Bipolaricaulia (SeqCode). RNAcentral also lists the same sequence under 1 other name.